CCCGAGGUGGGGUUCGACGCUGCUCAGCUCCACACCUUCAUCGACCAGUCCACGGUGCCGGCUGGGACGAUCGAUCUGGCGACAGUGCUCGCGACGGUGCUCGAGGAGCAGGACCGCGGACCG
Molecule: small RNA, 123 nt
Filed under: Alexandrium monilatum
Lineage: Eukaryota; Dinophyceae; Gonyaulacales; Pyrocystaceae
Description: partial Cyanobacteria transfer-messenger RNA
Source: RNAcentral